AAGAACGUGUGAUUUUGAAAUGAUAUUUUGCAAACGCAUCUACGUAACUGUCYCAAAAUCUCAGAAUUAAUAUCGACUACGAGAAUCAAAACUGGUCGCCAUCAUGAAAAAGAGUAUUAUUUUGGUGCUCCUUUUGGUGUCAUUGUUGAUGCUGAGUCAGUCUUCUGUUGAUGGCUUUCUUUUUCGCAGAAGAAGACGAAGACCAGCACCCACAACUGCAGCUAAAGCAAGCGCUGGUAGUCCGACCAAAAUGAAAUCGCUCUGGGAAGACAUUGCCGACUCGGUUCGCUAGGCUUUUGGCCGGCCCAUUCAAGACCACAGGGAUAUUACACCUUGAAGUAUUAGUUUAAAUCCAUGCCAAAUAAAAAGAUUGUUAAAUCUCAAAACCUGUAAAGUCUUAAUUCCAAUAAAAUCCCAGUGAUA
Long non-coding RNA from Actinia tenebrosa (Australian red waratah sea anemone), 423 nucleotides. RefSeq lists it as uncharacterized. The record is from RefSeq and is a predicted model, not a curated record. Lineage: Eukaryota; Metazoa; Cnidaria; Anthozoa; Actiniaria; Actiniidae.